UACGGAGGGUGCAAGCGUUAUCCGGAUUCACUGGGUUUAAAGGGUGCGCAGGCGGGCUAUUAAGUCCGUGGUGAAAUCCCGGGGCUCAACCCCGGAACUGCCAUGGAUACUAUUAGUCUUGAAUAUUGUUGAGGUGGGCGGAAUAGGUCAUGUAGCGGUGAAAUGCAUAGAUAUGACCUAGAACACCGAUUGCGAAGGCAGCUCACUGGACAAUGAUUGACGCUCAGGCACGAAAGCGUGGGGAUCAAACAGG
This 253-nucleotide ribosomal RNA is filed under the name uncultured bacterium. RNAcentral describes it as "partial 16S ribosomal RNA". It matches the Rfam family "Bacterial small subunit ribosomal RNA", at positions 524 to 776 of the family's 1533-position model. The record is from RNAcentral.